CCUACGGGAGGCAGCAGUGGGGGAUAUUGCACAAUGGGGGGAACCCUGAUGCAGCGACGCCGCGUGGGUGAAGAAGCGCCUCGGCGCGUAAAGCCCUGUCAGCAGGGAAGAAAAUGACGGUAUCUGACGAAGAAGCCCCGGCUAACUACGUGCCAGCAGCCGCGGUAAUACGUAGGGGGCAAGCGUUAUCCGGAUUUACUGGGUGUAAAGGGGGCGCAGGCGGCGAUGCAAGCCAGGAGUGAAAGCCCGGGGCCCAACCCCGGGACUGCCCUUGGAACUGCGUGGCUGGAGUGCAGGAGGGGCAGGCGGAAUUCCUGGUGUAGCGGUGAAAUGCGUAGAUAUCAGGAGGAACACCGGUGGCGAAGGCGGCCUGCUGGACUGCAACUGACGUUGAGGCCCGAAAGCGUGGGGAGCAAACAGGAUUAGAUAUCCCAGUAGUC
This 440-nucleotide ribosomal RNA is filed under the name uncultured bacterium. RNAcentral describes it as "partial 16S ribosomal RNA". It matches the Rfam family "Bacterial small subunit ribosomal RNA", at positions 338 to 795 of the family's 1533-position model. The record is from RNAcentral.